UAGUUCUUCGGAAUUAGAGACCGGCGCACGGGUGCGUAACGCGUAUGCAAUCUACCUUUUGCAGAGGGAUAGCCCAGAGAAAUUUGGAUUAAUACCUCAUAGUAUAGCACAACCGCAUGGUUGAGUUAUUAAAGUCACAACGGCAAAAGAUGAGCAUGCGUCCCAUUAGCUAGUUGGUAAGGUAACGGCUUACCAAGGCAACGAUGGGUAGGGGUCCUGAGAGGGAGAUCCCCCACACUGGUACUGAGACACGGACCAGACUCCUACGGGAGGCAGCAGUGAGGAAUAUUGGUCAAUGGGCGCAAGCCUGAACCAGCCAUGCCGCGUGCAGGAUGACGGUCCUAUGGA
Molecule: ribosomal RNA, 348 nt
Filed under: uncultured bacterium
Lineage: Bacteria
Description: bacterial SSU rRNA
Rfam family: Bacterial small subunit ribosomal RNA
Source: RNAcentral